RNAcentral lists this ribosomal RNA (949 nucleotides) under Lasiodiplodia avicenniarum. RNAcentral describes it as "partial large subunit ribosomal RNA". It matches the Rfam family "Eukaryotic large subunit ribosomal RNA", at positions 22 to 981 of the family's 3401-position model. Lineage: Eukaryota; Fungi; Ascomycota; Dothideomycetes; Botryosphaeriales; Botryosphaeriaceae. The record is from RNAcentral.
UGUACCCGCCUUGUCUUAAGCAUUACAAUAASCGGAGGAAAAGARACCAACAGGGAUUGCCUUAGUAACGGCGAGUGAAGCGGCAACAGCUCAAAUUUGAAAGCUGGCCCUUUUAGGGUCCGCAUUGUAAUUUGUAGAGGAUGAUUCGGSGAGGGCUCCUGCCUAAGUCCCCUGGAACGGGGCGUCAUAGAGGGUGAGAAUCCCGKAUGCGGYAGGUUGCCUUAGCCAUGUGAAUCUCCUUCGACGAGUCGAGUUGUUUGGGAAUGCAGCUCUAAAUGGGAGGUAAAUUUCUUCUAAAGCUAAAUACCGGCCAGAGACCGAUAGCGCACAAGUAGAGUGAUCGAAAGAUGAAAAGCACUUUGGAAAGAGAGUUAAAAAGUACGUGAAAUUGUUGAAAGGGAAGCGCUUGCAACCAGACUUGUCCGCAKUUGCUCAGCCGGUCUCCUGRCCGGYGUACUCUUCUGCGGCCAGGCCAGCAUCAGUUCGGGCGGWCGGAUAAAGGCCUCGGGAAUGUGGCUCCUCUCGGGGAGUGUUAUAGCCCGGGGUGCAAUGCGRCCASCCUGGACUGAGGAACUCGCUUCGGCAAGGAUGCUGGCGUAAUGGUUGUAAGCGGCCCGUCUUKAAACACGGACCAAGGAGUCUAACAUCUAUGCGAGUGUUCGGGUGUCAAACCCGUACGCGUAAUGAAAGUGAACGGAGGUGGGAACCCGCAAGGGUGCACCAUCGGCCGAUCCUGAUGUYUUCGGAUGGAUUUGAGCAAGAGCAUAGCUGUUGGGACCCGAAAGAWGGUGAACUAUGCCUGAAUAGGGUGAAGCCAGAGGAAACUCUGGUGGAGGCUCGCAGCGGUUCUGACGUGCAAAUCGAUCGUCAAAUUUGGGUCAUAGGGGCGAAAGACUAAUCGAAYCAUCUAGYMCGACUGGUUCCCUGCCGAAUUCCCCCCUCGGGAUAA